GUUGUCCUAACUGCUGCAGGUGAACAGUGGUACAGCUGAGGUGGACCUGAGAGUCCUGUUACCAGACAGAAGCACACUCACUGUCACCAUCAGGAGAAACAACAACACAGACCAGGUCUACGACGCUGUAGUAGACAAACUGGGACUUGAUGAGGAACUACUUCCCUACUUCGGACUGUUUGAAAUUAUGGACACAAACUUUGAGAGAAAACUGGUGCCCACAGAGUUCCCCCAUAACCUGUACAUCCAGAACUACACAGCUGCAGCCUCCACCUGCAUCGCUCUGCGCAAAUGGCUCUUCGACCUGCAGAGAGAACUGCGGCUGUCGCACCUGGACAUGGCCAACACCUUCUUCUACUGGCAGGUGGGUGCAGGUG
Branchiostoma belcheri (Belcher's lancelet) is the source of this 377-nucleotide long non-coding RNA. RefSeq lists it as uncharacterized. The record is from RefSeq and is a predicted model, not a curated record. The transcript is spliced from 3 exons. NCBI's taxonomy places the organism in Eukaryota, Metazoa, Chordata, Leptocardii, Amphioxiformes, Branchiostomatidae.